UGUCAUGCCAUUGUCCGUUCAUUUUUGCCAGACUCAUGCGUUUGACUUUCCAUCUUUAUUUUUCACUUAGUCUAUAAUUCGAGAGCCUUUUAUAAAAAAAAUAUUACACACCAGAAGACUUUGUUAAAAGAUAAAGUUUGAAUAUUAUAGCAGAAAAAGGCCAGUGUACCUGAAGUACAUUUGAAGACCAGGUUAUAUAUAUUACAUGAAUACAGCAUAAUAAAGCUGGUUUAAUUUGAAUUACUAUCCAUUAGGGACAUUUUCUGACGAUAAUUAAUCAAAUCUGACAAGUUUGAUUAAAAACGGAAAAUAAGCCCGUAAACGAUUUAACGUUACCGUACCCUCUUUACUUGUCGCAUGUCGGCAUCUUCAAAUGGCAAAUUUAUUUUACACAAAUUCGUUGACAUGAUGGUAGAUGGACACUACAGCACAAUAUAAGCUGAGCUGGAAAUUACAAUUGAUAAGAUAUCACAUUGGUUUGAGCAUGAUUCCCAGCAAGAUUAUGAAGGGGCAUAUAUAUCAUAUAUACAUAGGAAAUAUAUAGUGUCACUAAAUUACUCUCAUACGGUACCUCACCUCUGUAGCUGUAAAUUGCGAAACGGUGGAUUCAUUCAUAAUUUUGAGUUACUUAUUGCAAUUGGAAAUAACGUUGAUAAAGCUAACAGCAUUAUGCCAUGAUGUUGAUGGGAUGUUCUGAUUGGACAAAAAGGAAAUUGUGAAUUGAACAAAUAGCAAACUUGAAAUUCAUAGGAAAAAAAGUAGGAAAUUGGAAUAAUGAAAAUUCAUAGUUUCAGUGAUUAUCUUACAAUCAUCAUGAUCAUUGUCAAUACUACAAGUGCAUCAUCAUGAUCAUAUAUAUCUGAAUUCACCUUGGAUAAUGAUACAUUUAAAAUAAGAAUUUGGAUAUAUAUAAUAAGAAUUUCUGUGCUGGCGUAGCUACUGUUGGCUUCAUGUACCACCAGCUGGGAGUGUUAAACCUUUUUGACCUUUCGUGAGGGUCUGUCACGGUCCGUCACAAUUGGUUAGUGUCAUAUAUGCAUGAUUAUGGAAGUUUCACCAACCUAGACAAGCUUUACAGCCCUGGCACGGUUGUUGGUUGCACUUAGAGUCAAAUGACAGCUUGCUGUAUACAUUUGUAGUUCAAAUAGUCUGAAUGAAUCUACAUGUAUGGUGACAAUCUUCUAAAUUACUGUUCAUUCUGAAACUGGCAUUUUAUACUAGUACAUGUAGUAGUCGAACAUAUUAAACAAUACAUGUACUUCAAA
Molecule: long non-coding RNA, 1265 nt
Organism: Mytilus trossulus (common blue mussel)
Lineage: Eukaryota; Metazoa; Mollusca; Bivalvia; Mytilida; Mytilidae
Exons: 2
Source: RefSeq, a predicted model, not a curated record